UGCGUGGUUUCGGCUUUUCAAUAUAUAGCAUCUAUAAGCUUCAUAGUGAUGCCGACUGAGGAGCGAUGCCAUUAAGCAGGAAAUGACUGCUGCGACAUACAGAGCUGUUGAAAAUAGAGGCACUGUAACGUAAAGUUAUUCCAAACUACUUCUAUUGCAUUUUUUGCCCUUAGCUCUCCACGAGUGGUUAAAAUUUUUCGGAGCACGCAUACUUCGCCUGUUACUGAAUAGGUGAAGCUUCACUGCUUACUAAAACUUCGCGUUUAAACGGCCCCUCACCAGGCCCCAUAUCAAAUUUUGGUUAUAUGCUGGAAGUUGUUACAUGUCCUCUAGGGAGCAUUCUGCCGCAAAAAUUCUUCGAGUCGGCUCAUUAAUAGCCGAGAUAGAAAUAUUUCAGUUCCGCGAACCCAUGAUUUCGGCAGGCGGGCUCCACUGCAUAGCGAGACUCUGCGAGACUCUCUCCAUUCGCCUCGUCUAGCUUCCGCAAACCUUCCCUGCGUUCUCCCAUGCCAGACUUCAAGGAUCGCAUUACACAUACAUCACGGACCCCGCCUUCACUUUUUUUUUUCUCCUCGCUUAUUUUCUUUUUUUCAGAGAAGCGCUUCUCCGCUGGCGGCAUUGCGUGCGAGCUGUUAUCGUUUCACGCAGCGCACGCUUUCUGGCAUUGCAUCUCCUGGCGUGGUCGCAUUAAUGGUGCCAGAGAGAGCGUCCAGCCACAGCCCACGAAACACAGAACCUCUUAAAAACUUCUUGAAACGGCUACAAACGGCUAUAGACGUCUUGGUCUAUGAUAAGACAGAAAAUAGAAUUUUUUCUAAACAUGACCUCAGCACUUGCAAUAUGCUAGUAUAUAUUCUAUCUGCGGCAAAACCCACUACUGGUGUCACUAGAGUCUGUUUUGGUAAACACAUUCAGAAUGUCUAACUCAAGAACAUUUCUAGAUCUUUUUGUCUAAAAGUGCAUAAAAUGCCAAACGACGCGUUAAAAGUGCGGUUACCGUCAGCCGUUGGCGUUAGCGAAUAAAAGACGCCACAGACAAAUCGAACUCGUUGGAAGCAACAUAAGUUAAUUGGCUUUAAUAUUAAAUAAUUUCACACCAGAACUUCAAAAAUCAAGGGCGUGUUAUUGUUCUCCAGACGGGGCGCGCACACGACGCCUGGAAACCAUUCUAUGCUCGCGCCACAGGUAUACUGACAGCAGCAGGAGCGAAACGCCGGCGUUGCACAGCGGUGUGACAGAGUCGCUGCACUGCGAUCACUUCGGCGGCACAAUCCAAAUUUGUCGGACAUCUUAUUCUGUGCUGGAAACACUGGGAGGCAGGAAGUUUGAAAAAACGGCCACUGCCGCCCGCAAUGUCUCGCUGUCUCGGUCGUGGGUUCGUUAUUCAGUUGUGUGUCAUUCUAAGCCGUUAUGUACAUUUAUACUGGAUAUUAACUGGAGUCAUUUAGCUGAACUGAUGCUGUUUGCCCUGUGUUUUGCAUCAGUGCUUCGUGACAUCAGCUGUAUUGAGUGUUUUCGCCGACGGCUUACUACCACAAUGGCGGGAUCUGCGUUCACCGCCUUCGUGUCUCGGUGCGUCUUUGUACGUCGCACGUUCGGAUAACACUUUUUCCGACGGCUGGACAUCCUUCUUGUACCUUGGCGCUAGCUGGAUGACGGGACCUCAUCAUGAUCAGUGUAUUGCUUGCCUAUGUCUACAAGAACCGUCACGCGUGGCCUGUGACAGCAAGCUUUUGUGGGCAGCAAGUGCUCUCCUACGAAGGCUGGCCUACUCUGGCAGCGGCGGCAAUCAUCUUCAAGAUUUAUCCAUGAUCACCUUUGCUGCUAUUUGUCACUCUUGUUAAUUGCACUUUCUGCAUCUUUUCUAAUUUAUUAGGUAAUAAAGUAUGAGUAUGUGACAUGGUGUGAA
Long non-coding RNA from Dermacentor andersoni, 1909 nucleotides. RefSeq lists it as uncharacterized. Lineage: Eukaryota; Metazoa; Arthropoda; Arachnida; Ixodida; Ixodidae. The record is from RefSeq and is a predicted model, not a curated record.